CAAAACUACAUUUCUUGAGUUUGGUAGAGGAGAGUGGAAUUCCUAGUGUAGAGGUGAAAUUCGUAGAUAUUAGGAGGAACACCAGUGGCGAAGGCGACUCUCUGGGCCAAUACUGACGCUGAGGUUCGAAAGCAUGGGUAGCGAACAGGAUUAGAUACCCUGGUAGUCCAUGCAGUAAACGAUGAGUGCUAGAUGUUGGGAAUUUAAAUUUCCAGUAUCGCAGUUAACGCGUUAAGCACUCCGCCUGGGAAGUACGGCCGCAAGGCUAAAACUCAAAUGAAUUGACGGGGACCCGCACAAGCGGUGGAUCAUGUGGUUUAAUUCGAAGAUACGCGAAGAACCUUACCGGCCCUUGACAUACCAAUCGCGGACUUAAGAGAUUAAGUCUUUCACUUCGGGUGGAUUGGAUACAGGUGCUGCAUGGCUGUCGUCAGCUCGUGUCGUGAGAUGUUGGGUUAAGUCCCGCAACGAGCGCAACCCUUACCUUCAAUUGCCAGCACAUUAUGGUGGGAACUUUGAAGGAACUGCCGGUGAUAAGCCGGAGGAAGGUGGGGAUGACGUCAAGUCCUCAUGGCCCUUACGGGCCGGGCUACACACGUGAUACAAUGGUAACUACAAAGGGCAGCGAAAGAGCGAUCUGGAGCAAAUCUCAAAAAGUUACCUCAGUUCGGAUUGCACUCUGCAACUCGAGUGCAUGAAGUUGGAAUCGCUAGUAAUCGUAGAUCAGCGCGCUACGGUGAAUACGUUCCCGGGUCUUGUACACACCGCCCGUCACACCAUGGGAGUUGGUUUUACCUGAAGCUGGUUCGCUAACCGUAAGGAGGCAGCCAACCACGGUAAGAUUAGCGACUGGGGUGAAGUCGUAACAAGGUAACCGUA
RNAcentral lists this ribosomal RNA (879 nucleotides) under uncultured bacterium. RNAcentral's name for it is "bacterial SSU rRNA". It matches the Rfam family "Bacterial small subunit ribosomal RNA", at positions 628 to 1504 of the family's 1533-position model. The record is from RNAcentral.